Molecule: ribosomal RNA, 631 nt
Filed under: uncultured Actinomycetales bacterium
Lineage: Bacteria; Bacillati; Actinomycetota; Actinomycetes; Actinomycetales
Description: bacterial SSU rRNA
Rfam family: Bacterial small subunit ribosomal RNA
Source: RNAcentral
AAGGCUCCAGCUUGCUGGAGUGCUCGAGUGGCGAACGGGUGAGUAACGCGUGGGCAAUCUGCCCUGCACUCUGGGAUAAGCCUGGGAAACUGGGUCUAAUACCGGAUAGGACCUUUCUCCUCAUGGGGUUUGGUGGAAAGUUUUUCGGUGCAGGAUGAGCCCGCGGCCUAUCAGCUUGUUGGUGGGGUAAUGGCCUACCAAGGCGACGACGGGUAGCCGGCCUGAGAGGGUGAUCGGCCACAUUGGGACUGAGAUACGGCCCAGACUCCUACGGGAGGCAGCAGUGGGGAAUAUUGCACAAUGGGCGAAAGCCUGAUGCAGCGACGCCGCGUGAGGGAUGACGGCCUUCGGGUUGUAAACCUCUUUCAGUAGGGACGAAGCGCAAGUGACGGUACCUGCAGAAGAAGCACCGGCUAACUACGUGCCAGCAGCCGCGGUAAUACGUAGGGUGCGAGCGUUGUCCGGAAUUACUGGGCGUAAAGAGCUCGUAGGCGGUUUGUCACGUCGUCUGUGAAAUCCUAGGGCUUAACCCUGGACGUGCAGGCGAUACGGGCUGACUUGAGUACUACAGGGGAGACUGGAAUUUCUGGUGUAGCGGUGGAAUGCACAGAUAUCAGAAAGAACACCGAUG